This 560-nucleotide ribosomal RNA is filed under the name uncultured Glomus. Its description in RNAcentral is "SSU rRNA". It matches the Rfam family "Eukaryotic small subunit ribosomal RNA", at positions 546 to 1106 of the family's 1831-position model. Lineage: Eukaryota; Fungi; Glomeromycota; Glomeromycetes; Glomerales; Glomeraceae. The record is from RNAcentral.
AAUUGGAGGGCAAGUCUGGUGCCAGCAGCCGCGGUAAUUCCAGCUCCAAUAGCGUAUAUUAAAGUUGUUGCAGUUAAAAAGCUCGUAGUUGAAUUUCGGGAUCAAUAUUUCGGUCAUGCCGUUGGUAUGCACUGUUAUCAUUGAUUUCUCACCUUCUAAAGAACCGUAAUGCCACUAAUUUGGUGUUACGGGGAAUUAGGACUGUUACCUUGAAAAAAUUAGAGUGUUUAAAGCAGGCUCACGCUUGAAUACAUUAGCAUGGAAUAAUGAAAUAGGACAUCCGAUUCUAUUUUGUUGGUUUCUAGGAUCGAUGUAAUGAUUAAUAGGGAUAGUUGGGGGCAUUAGUAUUCAAUUGUCAGAGGUGAAAUUCUUGGAUUUAUUGAAGACUAACUACUGCGAAAGCAUUUGCCAAGGAUGUUUUCAUUAAUCAAGAACGAAAGUUAGGGGAUCGAAGACGAUCAGAUACCGUCGUAGUCUUAACCAUAAACUAUGCCGACUAGGGAUCGGAUGAUGUUAAUUUUUUAAUGACUCAUUCGGCGCCUUACGGGAAACCAAAGUGU